This 764-nucleotide unclassified non-coding RNA is filed under the name Melitaea cinxia (Glanville fritillary). RNAcentral describes it as "misc RNA ENSMCXG00005005421.1". The record is from RNAcentral. Lineage: Eukaryota; Metazoa; Arthropoda; Insecta; Lepidoptera; Nymphalidae.
GAUUUACGCCCACACAAAUUAUACUUCGUAAGUUAUUUUCUUUUAAUGUAUUGAAUUUUUUAUGUGUUUUUGAUCUUUACUUGAUUCUCAGUUGUGAGGGUUGGGUUGCCGGAUUGUUUUCUCAAAAUACUUUGAAGACAGUGUUUUGAGAUGCUUGGCGAUUGAAUCGAUUCCAAAGUCCUUGUGAAGAUCAAUGUUAGUUACGUACCAUGGCUUAGCCGUGGCCGUGCGUAAGAAACGAUUCUGCAAUGCUUGCAGACGUUGGAUGUAGGCGUGAUUGCAGUGGGCGAAGGCUGAACUCGCGUAGGUCAUGAUAGGACGAACGCAGAGUUUGUACAAUGUCGUCUUAUUUCUAAGGAGUAAUUCUACCUGAGCGUCCCCAUUCUAUGCUAAUCGUCGUCUCUGAAAUAGACACGUAUCUGAGAAGUGAAUGUAACAUCCCGCCAACCCCCAUCCUGUGCGUAGAAGGGUUGCGAAUGACGUUGCAUUUUGGUUUUUCCUUAGUAGUGAUAAAGGAAGAAAAUCUACCUCCACUGAAAUGGAAAUUGGGACGAAUUGUUGCCGUCCAUUCGGGGACCGAUGAUUUUUGUAAUAAUGUAGUGGUAAACGGAUUGAAAUGGGUUAGCUACUGAUACCUACUGAAGUAAACUGCGAGACAUAAAAUGGUAAGUGUUAGCCCAACAACAUUUGAUAUUAAAUUAUUAUUAUCUUUCACAUCUUUCCUUAUUACAAUACUGUCACGGACUAUGCUAAUAUUCCUAUAU